Molecule: ribosomal RNA, 496 nt
Filed under: uncultured bacterium
Lineage: Bacteria
Description: partial 16S ribosomal RNA
Rfam family: Bacterial small subunit ribosomal RNA
Source: RNAcentral
GAUGAACGCUGGCGGCGUGCCUAAUACAUGCAAGUCGAGCGAACAGACGAGGAGCUUGCUCCUCUGACGUUAGCGGCGGACGGGUGAGUAACACGUGGAUAACCUACCUAUAAGACUGGGAUAACUUCGGGAAACCGGAGCUAAUACCGGAUAAUAUAUUGAACCGCAUGGUUCAAUAGUGAAAGACGGUUUUGCUGUCACUUAUAGAUGGAUCCGCGCCGCAUUAGCUAGUUGGUAAGGUAACGGCUUACCAAGGCAACGAUGCGUAGCCGACCUGAGAGGGUGAUCGGCCAAACUGGAACUGAGACACGGUCCAGACUCCUACGGGAGGCAGCAGUAGGGAAUCUUCCGCAAUGGGCGAAAGCUUGACGGAGCAACGCCGCGUGAGUGAUGAAGGUCUUCGGAUCGUAAAACUCUGUUAUUAGGGAAGAACAAAUGUGUAAGUAACUAUGCACGUCUUGACGGUACCUAAUCAGAAAGCCACGGCUAACUACGU